UUAACACAUGCAAGUCGACUCGAGUCUUCGGAACUUGGGUGGCGCACGGGUGAGUAACGCGUAAAGAACUUGCCUCUUAGACCGGGACAACAUCUGGAAACGGAUGCUAAUACCGGAUAUUAUGGUUUUUUCGCAUGGAGGAAUCAUGAAAGCUAGAUGCGCUAAGAGAGAGCUUUGCGUCCCAUUAGCUAGUUGGUGAGGUAACGGCCCACCAAGGCAAUGAUGGGUAGCCGGCCUGAGAGGGUGAACGGCCACAAGGGGACUGAGACACGGCCCUUACUCCUACGGGAGGCAGCAGUGGGGAAUAUUGGACAAUGGACCACAAGUCUGAUCCAGCAAUUCUGUGUGCACGAUGACGUUUUUCGGAAUGUAAAGUGCUUUCAGUCGGGAAGAAGUCAGUGACGGUACCGACAGAAGAAGCGACGGCUAAAUACGUGCCAGCAGCCGCGGUAAUACGUAUGUCGCAAGCGUUAUCCGGAUUUAUUGGGCGUAAAGCGCGUCUAGGCGGCAAGGAAAGUCUGAUGUGAAAAUGCGGAGCUCAACUCCGUAUGGCGUUGGAAACUGCCUUACUAGAGUACUGGAGAGGUAGGCGGAACUACAAGUGUAGAGGUGAAAUUCGUAGAUAUUUGUAGGAAUGCCGAUGGGGAAGCCAGCCUACUGGACAGAUACUGACGCUAAAGCGCGAAAGCGUGGGUAGCAAACAGG
Molecule: ribosomal RNA, 705 nt
Filed under: uncultured Fusobacteriota bacterium
Lineage: Bacteria; Fusobacteriati; Fusobacteriota
Description: bacterial SSU rRNA
Rfam family: Bacterial small subunit ribosomal RNA
Source: RNAcentral